RNAcentral lists this ribosomal RNA (245 nucleotides) under uncultured bacterium. Its description in RNAcentral is "partial 16S ribosomal RNA". It matches the Rfam family "Bacterial small subunit ribosomal RNA", at positions 528 to 772 of the family's 1533-position model. The record is from RNAcentral.
UAGGGGGCAAGCGUUAUCCGGAUUUACUGGGUGUAAAGGGAGCGUAGACGGUUAUGCAAGCCUGAAGUGAAUGGCGGGGGCCCAACCCCCGGACUGCUUUGGAAACUGUAAAACUGGAGUGCAGGAGAGGUAAGUGGAAUUCCUAGUGUAGCGGUGAAAUGCGUAGAUAUUAGGAGGAACACCAGUGGCGAAGGCGGCUUACUGGACUGUAACUGACGUUGAGGCUCGAAAGCGUGGGGAGCAAA